Tachyglossus aculeatus (Australian echidna) is the source of this 138-nucleotide small nucleolar RNA. Lineage: Eukaryota; Metazoa; Chordata; Mammalia; Monotremata; Tachyglossidae. The record is from RefSeq and is a predicted model, not a curated record.
ACCGUCUCAGGCUCACACCUGGAGAGUUUCCAGUACUCUACCAGUCUUGACUUUGGGAGGGAGAGUCAAGCGAAGGGAUACCCAUUCCAUUCCUAGUUUGGCCAGUGGCUAGUGAAUGGAAGGCAAUCUGCUACAAGU